RNAcentral lists this ribosomal RNA (492 nucleotides) under uncultured bacterium. Its description in RNAcentral is "partial 16S ribosomal RNA". It matches the Rfam family "Bacterial small subunit ribosomal RNA", at positions 29 to 507 of the family's 1533-position model. The record is from RNAcentral.
AGUGAACGCUGGCGGCAGGCCUAACACAUGCAAGUCGAACGGCAGCACAGUAAGAGCUUGCUCUUACGGGUGGCGAGUGGCGGACGGGUGAGGAAUACAUCGGAAUCUACUUUUUCGUGGGGGAUAACGUAGGGGAACUUACUCUAAUACAGCAUACGCCCUUCGGGUGAAAGCAGGGGAUAUUCGGACCUUGCGCGAUUGGACGAGCCGAUGUGGUGUUAGCUAGUUGGCGGGGUAAUGGCCCACCAAGGGGGGGAUCCGUAGCCGGACUGUGAGGAUGGUCGUCGACACUGGAAGUGGACCGCGGUCCUGACUCCUGCGGGAGGCACCAGUGUCCAAUGUUGGGCAAUGGGCGGGAGUCUUGUCCAACCGUCCCGCGUGGGUGAAGAAAGCCUUCCGGUUGUGAAGCCCUUUUGUUGGGUGAGAAAAGCAGCCGGCUAAGACCCCGCUGUUCUGACGGUACCCAAUGAAUAAGCACCGGCUAACUUCGUG